UUGGAGGGCAAGUCUGGUGCCAGCAGCCGCGGUAAUUCCAGCUCCAAUAGCGUAUAUUAAAGUUGUUGCAGUUAAAAAGCUCGUAGUUGAAUUUCGGGGUCAGUAGGUUGGUCAUGCCACUGGUAUGUACUGGUCUCACUGAUUCCUCCUUCCUGAUGAGCCGUAAUGCCAUUAAUUUGGUGUUGCGAGGAAUCUGGACUGUUACUUUGAAAAAAUUAGAGUGUUUAAAGCAAGCUAACGCUUGAAUACAUUAGCAUGGAAUAAUGAAAUAGGACGUUCGAUCCUAUUUUGUUGGUCUCUAGGAUUGACGUAAUGAUUAAUAGGGAUAGUUGGGGGCAUUAGUAUUCAAUUGUCAGAGGUGAAAUUCUUGGAUUUAUUGAAGACUAACUACUGCGAAAGCAUUUGCCAAGGGUGUUUUCAUUAAUCAAGAACGAAAGUUAGGGGAUCGAAGACGAUCAGAUACCGUCGUAGUCUUAACCAUAAACUAUGCCGACUAGGGAUCGGAUGAUGUUAAUUUUUUGAUGACUCAUUCGGCGCCUUACGGGAAAC
RNAcentral lists this ribosomal RNA (549 nucleotides) under uncultured Glomeromycotina. RNAcentral describes it as "SSU rRNA". It matches the Rfam family "Eukaryotic small subunit ribosomal RNA", at positions 548 to 1098 of the family's 1831-position model. Lineage: Eukaryota; Fungi; Glomeromycota. The record is from RNAcentral.